Molecule: ribosomal RNA, 1019 nt
Filed under: Salmonella enterica subsp. salamae
Lineage: Bacteria; Pseudomonadati; Pseudomonadota; Gammaproteobacteria; Enterobacterales; Enterobacteriaceae
Description: bacterial SSU rRNA
Source: RNAcentral
GGGCCUAAMACAUGCAAGUCGAACGGUAACAGGAAGCAGCUUGCUGCUUCGCUGACGAGUGGCGCGACGGGUGAGUAAUGUCUGGGAAACUGCCUGAUGGAGGGGGAUAACUACUGGAAACGGUGGCUAAUACCGCAUAACGUCGCAAGACCAAAGAGGGGGACCUUCGGGCCUCUUGCCAUCAGAUGUGCCCAGAUGGGAUUAGCUUGUUGGUGAGGUAACGGCUCACCAAGGCGACGAUCCCUAGCUGGUCUGAGAGGAUGACCAGCCACACUGGAACUGAGACACGGUCCAGACUCCUACGGGAGGCAGCAGUGGGGAAUAUUGCACAAUGGGCGCAAGCCUGAUGCAGCCAUGCCGCGUGUAUGAAGAAGGCCUUCGGGUUGUAAAGUACUUUCAGCGGGGAGGAAGGUGUUGCGGUUAAUAACCGCAGCAAUUGACGUUACCCGCAGAAGAAGCACCGGCUAACUCCGUGCCAGCAGCCGCGGUAAUACGGAGGGUGCAAGCGUUAAUCGGAAUUACUGGGCGUAAAGCGCACGCAGGCGGUCUGUCAAGUCGGAUGUGAAAUCCCCGGGCUCAACCUGGGAACUGCAUUCGAAACUGGCAGGCUUGAGUCUUGUAGAGGGGGGUAGAAUUCCAGGUGUAGCGGUGAAAUGCGUAGAGAUCUGGAGGAAUACCGGUGGCGAAGGCGGCCCCCUGGACAAAGACUGACGCUCAGGUGCGAAAGCGUGGGGAGCAAACAGGAUUAGAUACCCUGGUAGUCCACGCCGUAAACGAUGUCUACUUGGAGGUUGUGCCCUUGAGGCGUGGCUUCCCGGAGCUAACGCGUUAAGUAGACCGCCUGGGGAGUACGGCCGCAAGGUUAAAACUCAAUGUAUUUGACGGGGGCCCGCACAAGCGGUGGAAGCAUGUGGUUUAUUCGAUGCAACGCGAAAACCUUACCUGGUCUUGACAUCCACGAAGGUCUCAGAGAUGAGACUGGGCCUUCCGGCACCCCGAAAACGGGGCUGCAUGGGCUG